Molecule: long non-coding RNA, 1125 nt
Filed under: Felis catus (domestic cat)
Lineage: Eukaryota; Metazoa; Chordata; Mammalia; Carnivora; Felidae
Description: lncRNA (ENSFCAG00000048008.1)
Source: RNAcentral
AUGCUGGACAUGGGGGGCACACAUCCAUCAACCCUGUCCGGGGGGGGGGGGGACACCCACAGGUGUCUGCAAGUGUCUAGAAGCUCCAGUGCUUGGAACUCUGUUUUGCGGAACUUCGGCGGCUUCUCACCUGAGGGCACCCACCUAGAUUCACCAGGCAGCACUACACCCCGCGUCUGGGUGCCCUGGGUCUCAGCCAGAGGCCCAAUCGAACACCCCAGUGCCCAAAUCUACUACACUGGAGCGACGCAGGAUGUGUGCGUCUACCCUAGUCUCCAGCCCCGGGGCUUAGGGGACCCUCCCCCAGGGAUAAGAAUGGGGAGGAGGUCCUCCCAGAGGUUCUGUGCCGGGGCAGCAGGCCCCCUGCAGCCCCAGUGGGAGCGGCCUGGGACAGGCGAGCCAAGGGGUCCAGACCGGGAAGUUGGGGUUCAGCCUCCCAAGGGUCGGAGGCUUUGGAAGAGCGCAGACGGCCAGGAGGCGGGCAGGCAGCGGCUGCGGAAUGAAUCUCUCUCUUUCGGCAGAUGCCUGGGGGAUGGGGAGCCCAGGGAAGGGGGCUCGAUCAGGGAGCGUAUUCCGCCCCCCCUGCACCCCAGCCUUGGUACGGCUUUAAAAUCCUGCGGAGUUUGUCAUAGGCCGGUCUCACCACGCAUGCGCAAAGGCGAAGUUGAGUUUUUUUUUUUUUCUUUCUUUUCUCCCCCCUUCCCUCUCUCUUUCCAGCCGCCUUUGGUUCUGCAACUUAAAAAAAAAAAAAAAAAAAAAAAAAAAUCUUUUUUUCCCCCCUCUGAAAACUGCAGGGGAAAGAGGAGUCCGGAGAGAGGGAGAGAGAGCGUGAGGCAGUUGGCCAGGAGGGCCAGGGGGUGGGGGGGCGGGGGGGACACGGUCCCUGCGGUCAGUCAGUCUGCGGGGCACAGGAUCGCGUGGAAGGCUGCUGCAAGCUCCAAGGCGCCGCCUCCGCCGCCCAGAGUCCGGUUCGGUGCGGCCGCCGCCGAGCGAGCUCCUCCCGCCGCCGCCGCCGCCGCGCCGUGCCCCCGACCGCCCGCCGCCCGCUUGCAAGCUCGCCCGCCCCUGGGGCCCCGGCGCCAAACGAGGUGGGCAGCCGCGCCGGCCAUGGACCGCCAGAACUGA